Molecule: small RNA, 83 nt
Filed under: Marmota monax (woodchuck)
Lineage: Eukaryota; Metazoa; Chordata; Mammalia; Rodentia; Sciuridae
Source: RNAcentral
GCCAGGCACAGUGGUGCAUGUCUGUAAUCCCAGUUGCUCAGGAGGCUGAGGCAGGAGGAUCAUGAGUUCAAACCCAGCCUCAG